Molecule: ribosomal RNA, 493 nt
Filed under: uncultured soil bacterium
Lineage: Bacteria
Description: bacterial SSU rRNA
Rfam family: Bacterial small subunit ribosomal RNA
Source: RNAcentral
AGAUUGAACGCUGGCGGAAUGCUUUACACAUGCAAGUCGAACGGCAGCACGGGGGCAACCCUGGUGGCGAGUGGCGAUCGGGUGAGUAAUACAUCGGAACGUGCCCAGUCGUGGGGGAUAACUACGCGAAAGCGUAGCUAAUACCGCAUACGAUCUAUGGAUGAAAGCGGGGGAUCGCAAGACCUCGCGCGAUUGGAGCGGCCGAUGGCAGAUUAGGUAGUUGGUGGGGUAAAGGCUCACCAAGCCGACGAUCUGUAGCUGGUCUGAGAGGACGACCAGCCACACUGGGACUGAGACACGGCCCAGACUCCUACGGGAGGCAGCAGUGGGGAAUUUUGGACAAUGGGCGCAAGCCUGAUCCAGCCAUUCCGCGUGCAGGAUGAAGGCCCUCGGUUGUAAACUGCUUUUGUACGGAACGAACGGCGCGGUUAAUACCCUGUGCUAAUGACGGUACCGUAAGAAUAAGCACGCUAACUACGUGCCAGCAGCCGUA